CCUGUGUUUCAGCCGUAAGCUCCAUUUCCUUCGUUUCCUGUCAAGUUCUUUGUGAUCGGAGAUUCUUUUUAUUUCUUUUCGUGCUGGAUUUGCCUAUGUUCUGGAGUCUUGAGCAUUUUCCAACUUUUUCUUCUUUUUUUUUCCCUUUCCCAAUCCUUGAGCUUGAUGAAAGAGAGUUGGAAUUAUGGACUUCAUAUACGAAACACAAUACCCUAAACCGAAGGUACUUUUUUUUUUGUGGGAUAUUUUUUCAACUUUUUCAAUUAAAUUUAUCGUGUGAUCUUGAUUUUGAGGGUUUCAAUUCGAAAUUGCUUAAAGAAUGAUUUUUUUCUGCGGAGAGGGAACCUCAAUGUGAUUUUUUUUUAAUGCAAAUGUAUGUUGAGAGGGGAAAGAGUGUGAAGCAUCUGAUAAUCCUUAUAGCGAAAGCAGAUGUAAUCACUAAAUAUUGGAUGUCUUUCCCAUAUCAAAACAGAAUCUUAAUGCUUGCCUGCCUGCUUCCAUUGUGGCUCGCAAGUUUGGCUUUUCUGUUACAUGCCAUGCUAAUUUUCUUUUUAGGUAGCCAUUUUCCUAGUUUUCUAGUUUACUUGAUCUUUAUCAUCUCAUCACUAAAGUCUUUUGAAGCCAUAAGCAACGAAAGGAGGUUAAAAAAAAACUAUUUUAUUAAAAUACUCUUUGCACUCUACAAAGGGAAAUUCCAAUACUCUUUAUGUUUUUUUUUUUUUUUUUGAAGGAAAAGAGUAUUCCAAAUUUAUUAAAGAUAGAAUAUCAUUUAUUUUUUGUAAAGGCUCUAAAUAAAUUCGUUCUUCGGAUUUUCUUCAAAAUUUUUCUAUCGAGCACUUCAUGCCGGGCUAACGGAGCUAAGUCUCGGCUAAUUCUGAAAACACAAGUGUUCUAAUCCGAACAACUGGGGAACUCGCAAUGAAAAAAUUGGCAGUCGCUGCGAUCGCCAGAUGUUUACAAGGAUUCAAAAGAAUCAUUUCAGCCUGUGAGGCAACCGUGGGACGGAUUUAAUCCAGGAACACGACGGUCGGUGGAGUAAUUUGCUCUCCUAAAAGGUGGAAAGAACAGCUAAAAACAAGAAAUUUUUUCGUAUUAAAUAUUCCUAGUUCGGUUGGAGUUUUUUUUAUAUCCUAGAACUGAAAAGAUGGAGAAAAAGGAAUUGCACUCUCCAAAACAAAGCCUACAAUGCACUUGGGGAAUAAUUAGAAUUGAUUUCGAGAAAGACUGUAAUAAAAACUGUUCAAGAGAAAAUUAUCAUCCUUUUAAUUUAAAUGUAUAUCAUAUGUUUCUUAAUCUACAAUCUAUAUGAGGAAGUCCGCUUCAUCCUCCAAGCACCUAACAUUGUUGGUGCUGGUUUUGUUCCUCGGAGCCGGAGGAAGGGCAGGGUGCUUUUGGACAGGACACUAAAUGAACCCAACAAAUCAUCAUAUUCUGCUUAGAAUUGCGAUGGCUUUGCUGCUGUUUAAGGCUCUCAAGGAUCACACACAGCUACAGAAAAAUGGCUUUUGACGAUUUCCGAAGGUGAUUUAUUUCCUCCACUUGUUAACCCUGCAUCCUGAUGAUUCCCUGUGCUUAUUGCAAGGAGGCCUUGCGAGUGUCCGAGUCAUUCUGGGUGCAAUCUCACCAUCAAAUCAUCACUUUAUGCUUAAGCUGAAGUCCUCAGGUUAAGCUGAUCAUCAUCAGGAUAGAGCUCAAGGUUGGCUGACAUGGGACGCCCAAAAUGAUGAACCUGAAUGGACUGACUAGUAAAUCCCAUCGUAUUUGUUACAUCUUUUCAGAAAUCAACAGUCAUGAUAUUCCCGAGCACAAAAAGGCUGAUAUAAUAUUUAACUUAUCACGAUGCGUGGAUUAACGUACAGGAAGAACCAGAAAUAAGAUAUUUCAUCCCUGAGAUCUUUCCAAUAAAUUAAAGCUUAAAUAGUACACUGAAACAAAAUUCCAUAUGAUACGACUACAACCAGAGAACAGAUUUUUUUUUUUUUUUU
Non-coding RNA from Phoenix dactylifera (date palm), 1985 nucleotides. The record is from RefSeq and is a predicted model, not a curated record. NCBI's taxonomy places the organism in Eukaryota, Viridiplantae, Streptophyta, Magnoliopsida, Arecales, Arecaceae.